GACGAACGCUGGCGGCGUGCCUAAUACAUGCAAGUUGAGCGAUGAAGAUUGGUGCUUGCACCAAUUUGAAGAGCAGCGAACGGGUGAGUAACGCGUGGGGAAUCUGCCUUUGAGCGGGGGACAACAUUUGGAAACGAAUGCUAAUACCGCAUAACAACUUUAAACAUAAGUUUUAAGUUUGAAAGAUGCAAUUGCAUCACUCAAAGAUGAUCCCGCGUUGUAUUAGCUAGUUGGUGAGGUAAAGGCUCACCAAGGCGAUGAUACAUAGCCGACCUGAGAGGGUGAUCGGCCACAUUGGGACUGAGACACGGCCCAAACUCCUACGGGAGGCAGCAGUAGGGAAUCUUCGGCAAUAGACGAAAGUCUGACCGAGCAACGCCGCGUGAGUGAAGAAGGUUUUCGGAUCGUAAAACUCUGUUGGUAGAGAAGAACGUUGGUGAGAGUGGGAAGCUCAUCAAGUGACGGUAACUACCCAGAAAGGGACGGCUAACUACGUG
This 497-nucleotide ribosomal RNA is filed under the name uncultured bacterium. RNAcentral's name for it is "partial 16S ribosomal RNA". It matches the Rfam family "Bacterial small subunit ribosomal RNA", at positions 28 to 507 of the family's 1533-position model. The record is from RNAcentral.